RNAcentral lists this ribosomal RNA (613 nucleotides) under uncultured bacterium. RNAcentral's name for it is "bacterial SSU rRNA". The stretch from base 1 to 522 matches the Rfam family "Bacterial small subunit ribosomal RNA", at positions 338 to 873 of the family's 1533-position model. The record is from RNAcentral.
CCUACGGGAGGCAGCAGUGGGGAAUAUUGGGCAAUGGAGGAAACUCUGACCCAGCGACGCCGCGUGCGGGAUGAAGGCCUUCGGGUUGUAAACCGCUUUCAGUAGGGAAGAAGCGAAAGUGACGGUACCUACAGAAGAAGCACCGGCUAACUAUGUGCCAGCAGCCGCGGUAAUACAUAGGGUGCAAGCGUUGUCCGGAAUUAUUGGGCGUAAAGAGCUCGUAGGUGGUUCGUCACGUCGGAUGUGAAAAUCUGGGGCUCAACCCCAGACCUGCAUUCGAUACGGGCGAUCUAGAGUGUGGUAGGGGAGACUGGAAUUCCUGGUGUAGCGGUGGAAUGCGCAGAUAUCAGGAGGAACACCAAUGGCGAAGGCAGGUCUCUGGGCCAUUACUGACACUGAGGAGCGAAAGCGUGGGGAGCGAACAGGAUUAGAUACCCUGGUAGUCCACGCCGUAAACGGUGGGCACUAGUUGUGGGAACCUUCCACGGUUUCUGCGACGCAGCUACGCAUAAGUAGCCCGCCGUCGGGAGGUACGAGUCGCGAAGAAUUAAACUAACAAUAGAAGUUAGACGGCGUGAGACGUCGCCGACGGACGACGACGAGGGAGGUUAGG